UACGUAGGCGGCAAGCGUUGUCCGGAUUUACUGGGCGUAAAGAGCGCGCAGGCGGUCAGAUAAGUCGAAUGUGAAAGCCCCCGGCUCAACUGGGGAGGGUCAUUCGAUACUGUUCGACUCGAAGGCAGGAGAGGGAAGUGGAAUUCCCGGUGUAGUGGUGGAAUGCGUAGAUAUCGGGAGGAACACCAGUGGCGAAGGCGGUUACCUGGAGCUUUGCUGACGCUGAUGCGCGAAAGCGUGGGGAGCGAUCCGG
This 253-nucleotide ribosomal RNA is filed under the name uncultured bacterium. RNAcentral's name for it is "partial 16S ribosomal RNA". It matches the Rfam family "Bacterial small subunit ribosomal RNA", at positions 524 to 776 of the family's 1533-position model. The record is from RNAcentral.